This 253-nucleotide ribosomal RNA is filed under the name uncultured bacterium. RNAcentral describes it as "partial 16S ribosomal RNA". It matches the Rfam family "Bacterial small subunit ribosomal RNA", at positions 524 to 776 of the family's 1533-position model. The record is from RNAcentral.
GACGAACCACACAAACGUUAUUCGGAAUCACUGGGCUUAAAGGGUGCGUAGGCUGCGCAGUAAGUUGGGUGUGAAAUCCCUCGGCUCAACCGAGGAACUGCGCCCAAAACUACUGUGCUCGAGGGAGAUAGAGGUGAGCGGAACUUAGGGUGGAGCGGUGAAAUGCGUUGAUAUCCUAAGGAACACCCGUGGCGAAAGCGGCUCACUGGAUCUCUUCUGACGCUGAGGCACGAAAGCUAGGGUAGCGAACGGG